AGUCGAACGGCAGCACGGACUUCGGUCUGGUGGCGAGUGGCGAACGGGUGAGUAAUGUAUCGGAACGUGCCUAGUAGCGGGGGAUAACUACGCGAAAGCGUAGCUAAUACCGCAUACGCCCUUCGGGGGAAAGCGGGGGACCUUCGGGCCUCGCACUAUUAGAGCAGCCGAUAUCCAGUUAGCUAGUUGGUGGGGUAACGGCUCACCAAGGCGACGAUCGUAGCUGGUUUGAGAGGACGACCAGCCACACUGGGACUGAGACACGGCCAGAGCUCUACGGGAGGCAGCAGUGAAAUUUUGGACAAUGGGGGAAGCCACAGUCCAGCCAUCCCGCGUGUGCGAUGAAGGCCUUCGGGUUGUAAAGCACUUUUGGCGGGAAAGAAACGGCACGGGAUAAUACCCCGUGCAACUGACAGUACCUGCAGAAUAAGCACCGGCUAACUACGUGCCAGCAGCCGCGGUAAUACGUAAGUGCAAGCGUUAAUCGGAAUUACUGGGCGUAAAGCGUGCACCAGCGGUUCGGAAGAAAGAUGUGAAAUCCGCAGAGCCUUUGGAACUGCAUUUUUUAACUACCGAAGACUAGAGUGUGUCAGGGAAGUGGAAUUCCGCGUGUAGCAGUGAAAUGCGUAGAUAUGCCGGAGGAACGCCGAUGGCGAAGGCAGCCUCCUGGGAUAACGCUGACGCUCAUGCACGAAAGCGUGGGGAGCAAACAGGAUUAGAUACCCUGGUAGUCCACGCCCUAAACGAUGUCAACUAGCUGUUGGGGCCUUCGGGCCUUGGUAGCGCAGCUAACGCGUGAAGUUGACCGCCUGCCAGGAUACGGUCGCAAAGAUUAAAACUCAAAGGAAUUGACGGGGACCCGCACAAGCGGUGGAUGAUGUGGAUUAAUUCGAUGCAACGCGAAAAACCUUACCUACCCUUGACAUGUCUGGAAUCCCGAAAGAGAUUUGGGAGUGCUCGCAAGAGAACCGGAACACAGGUGCUGCAUGGCUGUCGUCAGCUCGUGUCGUGAGAUGUUGGGUUAAGUCCCGCAACAGCGAGCGCAACCCUUGUCAUUAGUGCUUACGAAAGGACACUCUAAUGGAACUGCCGGUAUGAAACCGGAGGAAGGUGGGGAUGACGUCAAGUCCUCAUGGCCCUUAUGGGUAGGGCUUCACGUCAUACAAUGGUCGGGACAGAGGGUCGCCAACCCGCGAGGGGGAGCCAAUCCCAGAAACCCGAUCGUAGUCCGGAUCGCAGUCUGCAACUCGACUGCGUGAAGUCGGAAUCGCUAGUAAUCGCGGAUCAACAUGUCGCGGUGAAUACGUUCCAGGUCUUGUACACACCGCCCGUCACACACCAUGGGAGUGGGUUUUACCAGAAGUAGUUAGCCUAACCGUAAGGAGGGCGAUUACCACGGUAGGAUUCAUGACUGGGGUGAAGUCGUAACAAGGUAA
RNAcentral lists this ribosomal RNA (1436 nucleotides) under uncultured Bordetella sp. RNAcentral's name for it is "partial 16S-23S ribosomal RNA intergenic spacer". It matches the Rfam family "Bacterial small subunit ribosomal RNA". Lineage: Bacteria; Pseudomonadati; Pseudomonadota; Betaproteobacteria; Burkholderiales; Alcaligenaceae. The record is from RNAcentral.